UGCUGACAGAAUGGGCACUUGAAGCUGCUCUUGUGAGAGCUCAGGUUUUAUUGUAUUCUUAAAACGUGAAAAGCAUUUAUUAUUUUAGGAGUGUUGGCCUAGAAAAUGUGUUGUUUUCUGUCAAGUCUGUUGCUACUAUUUCUCUAAUAUGAGAGCCUCUCACUUUGUUUUCAAGAUAAUUCAAAGACCUGCUCAAGUGCAAGACCCUAGGAUUCCAGGAGGCACUAAAAUCCUCUAACAGGAAGGGAAGUUUUUAGUGACCUAGAGAAGGAGCAAUAGGAAGGCCAAUAUCUACACUAUGAACAGAAGUAGAAAUGGUGAUGGAUUGUCUGGCAAGAUGCAUUUGGCUUUUCAGGGAAGAACAGGGGUGGCCUCCAAUGACCAAUGAAACCAAGGAAAGAGAAAAAAUUUUCUGCUAGAAAAUGUAUCUGAUCAAAAAAAUAUAAUGCUUAUAUGACACUUAUUCAGGCAGACUCCUUUAAAGUCUUUACAGGCAGGUGUCGAGUGUUAAAAGAAGAAGGAACAGUUAAAAUUUCUUCUUCUUAAAAAAGAUGUCUGGACUUGCUCUAACAAGCCAAUGCUUUCCCAUUAGUCCCUAAGCUGGAUGCAGCACUGCUGUGGUGUCUCAGGAAAGUAGAGGGCCAGAACCCCUUCCUCGCCC
This 661-nucleotide long non-coding RNA is filed under the name Cyanistes caeruleus (blue tit). RNAcentral's name for it is "lncRNA (ENSCCEG00000014110.1)". The record is from RNAcentral. Lineage: Eukaryota; Metazoa; Chordata; Aves; Passeriformes; Paridae.